This 464-nucleotide ribosomal RNA is filed under the name uncultured bacterium. RNAcentral describes it as "bacterial SSU rRNA". It matches the Rfam family "Bacterial small subunit ribosomal RNA", at positions 338 to 795 of the family's 1533-position model. The record is from RNAcentral.
CCUACGGGCGGCACCAGUGGGAAUAUUGCACAAUGGGCGCAAGCCUGAUGCAGCCAUGCCGCGUGUAUGAAGAAGGCCUUCGGGUUGUAAAGUACUUUCAGCGGGGAGGAAGGUGUUGUGGUUAAUAACCACAGCAAUUGACGUUACCCGCAGAAGAAGCACCGGCUAACUCCGUGCCAGCAGCCGCGGUAAUACGGAGGGUGCAAGCGUUAACCGGAAUUACUGGGCGUAAAGCGCACGCAGGCGGUCUGUCAAGUCGGAUGUGAAAUCCCCAGGCUCAACCUGGGAACUGCAUUCGAAACUGGCAGGCUAGAGUCUUGUAGAGGGGGGUAGAAUUCCAGGUGUAGCGGUGAAAUGCGUAGAGAUCUGGAGGAAUACCGGUGGCGAAGGCGGCCCCCUGGACAAAGACUGACGCUCAGGUGCGAAAGCGGGGGGAGCAAACAGGAUUAGAUACCCCUGUAGUC